AUUGAACGCUGGCGGCAGGCCUAACACAUGCAAGUCGAACGAGUGGCGGACGGGUGAGUAAUGUCUGGGAAACUGCCUGAUGGAGGGGGAUAACUACUGGAAACGGUAGCUAAUACCGCAUACCAUCGGAUGUGCCCAGAUGUGAUUAGCUAGUAGGUGGGGUAAAGGCUCACCUAGGCGACGACCCCUAGCUGGUCUGAGAGGAUGACCAGCAACAAUGGAACGGAGACACGGUCAAGACUCCUACGGGAGGAAGCAGUGGGGAAUAUUGCACAAUGGGGGCAAGCCUGAUGAGGCAAUGCCGCGUGUAUGAGGAGGGCCUUCGGGUUGUAAAGUACUUUCAGCGGGGAGGCGUUACCCGAAGAAGAAGCACCGGCUAACUCCGUGCCAGCAGCCGCGGUAAUAC
This 406-nucleotide ribosomal RNA is filed under the name uncultured bacterium. Its description in RNAcentral is "partial 16S ribosomal RNA". It matches the Rfam family "Bacterial small subunit ribosomal RNA", at positions 30 to 526 of the family's 1533-position model. The record is from RNAcentral.